This 200-nucleotide ribosomal RNA is filed under the name uncultured bacterium. RNAcentral's name for it is "partial 16S ribosomal RNA". It matches the Rfam family "Bacterial small subunit ribosomal RNA", at positions 524 to 720 of the family's 1533-position model. The record is from RNAcentral.
UACGAAGGGGGCUAGCGUUGCUCGGAAUCACUGGGCGUAAAGCGCACGUAGGCGGCUUUCUAAGUCAGGGUGAAAUCCUGGAGCUCAACUCCAGAACUGCCUUUGAUACUGGAGAGCUUGAGUCCGGAAGAGUGAGUGGAACUCCGAGUGUAGAGGUGAAAUUCGUAGAUAGUUCGAAGGAACACCGACUGGUCGGCAAG